Molecule: unclassified non-coding RNA, 417 nt
Filed under: Hevea brasiliensis (rubber tree)
Lineage: Eukaryota; Viridiplantae; Streptophyta; Magnoliopsida; Malpighiales; Euphorbiaceae
Source: RNAcentral
GGUGGAUCCCACUUUUGAGGUUCUGAUCUGGUUGGAUAGCCAAGGCGGAACAAUAUUUUGAUAUCCAUGCUACUCGUGAUGACCUUAAGGUCACAUUAGCCAUGGUCAGUAUAAAGGGUCCUCCUUUGCAUUNNNNNNNNNCGUCAGUGCAACUUGUAGCUAACUUGGGCUCAAUUAACGUUAGAAUUGUUUCAACAUUAUGGUGGAGAGAUGAUUGAUAGCCCUUUUGAACAUUUGGCUACUUUACAGCCAGUGUUGUUAAAGGCGUCAUAGGCGCUAGGAGAGGAGACCCUCUAGCGCCUCGCCUGGCACUGCCUUGCCUAGCUUUGAAGAGGCGGCCGCUCCAACAACAAAGGCGAGGGGCAUUGAGGCAUUGAGGCGAUGCCUUUUGAAAGGAGCAAUAAUUUUUUUUUCUUU